GAUGAACGCUGGCGGCGUGCCUAAUACAUGCAAGUCGAGCGAACAGACGAGGAGCUUGCUCCUCUGACGUUAGCGGCGGACGGGUGAGUAACACGUGGAUAACCUACCUAUAAGACUGGGAUAACUUCGGGAAACCGGAGCUAAUACCGGAUAAUAUAUUGCACCGCAUGGUUCAAUAGUGAAAGUCGGUUUUGCUGUCACUUAUAGAGGGAUCCGCGCCGCAUUAGCUAGUUGGUAAGGUAACGGCUUACCAAGGCAACGAUGCGUAGCCGACCUGAGCGGGUGAUCGGCCACACUGGAACUGAGACACGGUCCAGACUCCUACGGGAGGCAGCAGUAGGGAAUCUUCCGCAAUGGGCGAAAGCCUGACGGAGCAACGCCGCGUGAGUGAUGAAGGUCUUCGGAUCGUAAAACUCUGUUAUUAGGGAAGAACAAAUGUGUAAGUAACUAUGCACGUCUUGACGGUACCUAAUCAGAAAGCCACGGCUAACUACGUG
This 497-nucleotide ribosomal RNA is filed under the name uncultured bacterium. RNAcentral's name for it is "partial 16S ribosomal RNA". It matches the Rfam family "Bacterial small subunit ribosomal RNA", at positions 28 to 507 of the family's 1533-position model. The record is from RNAcentral.